GGAGGGGGCAAGCGUUGUUCGGAAUUACUGGGCGUAAAGGGCGCGUAGGCGGAAGAUCAAGUCAGGGGUGAAAGGCCUGGGCUCAACCCGGGAACUGCCUUUGAAACUGGUUUUCUAGAGUACGGGAGAGGAUGGCGGAAUUCCCAGUGUAGAGGUGAAAUUCGUAGAUAUUGGGAGGAACACCGGUGGCGAAGGCGGCCAUCUGGCCCGGUACUGACGCUAAGGCGCGAAAGCGUGGGGAGCAAACAGGAUUAGAUACCCUGGUAGCCCACGCCGUAAACGAUGUGUGCUAGCCGUUGGGGCUUCAGGUCUCGGUGGCGCAGCUAACGCGUUAAGCACACCGCCUGGGGAGUACGGCCGCAAGGUUA
This 368-nucleotide ribosomal RNA is filed under the name uncultured organism. Its description in RNAcentral is "partial 16S ribosomal RNA". It matches the Rfam family "Bacterial small subunit ribosomal RNA", at positions 527 to 896 of the family's 1533-position model. The record is from RNAcentral.